UAGGGAAUCUUCGGCAAUGGGGGGAACCCUGACCGAGCAACGCCGCGUGAGUGAAGAAGGUUUUCGGAUCGUAAAGCUCUGUUGUUAAGGAAGAACGAGUGUGAGAAUGGAAAGUUCAUGCUGUGACGGUACUUAACCAGAAAGGGACGGCUAAUUACGUGCCAGCAGCCGCGGUAAUACGUAAGGUCCGAGCGUUGUCCGGAAUCAUUGGGCGUAAAGGGUACGUAGGCGGAUAAGCAAGUUAGAAGUGAAAUCCUAUAGCUCAACUAUAGUAAGCUUUUAAAACUGCUCAUCUUGAGGUAUGGAAGGGAAAGUGGAAUUCCUAGUGUAGCGGUGAAAUGCGCAGAUAUUAGGAGGAAUACCGGUGGCGAAGGCGACUUUCUGGCCAUAUACUGACGCUGAGGUACGAAAGCGUGGGUAGCAAACAGG
RNAcentral lists this ribosomal RNA (429 nucleotides) under Verrucomicrobiota bacterium. RNAcentral's name for it is "Verrucomicrobia bacterium partial 16S ribosomal RNA". It matches the Rfam family "Bacterial small subunit ribosomal RNA", at positions 355 to 776 of the family's 1533-position model. The record is from RNAcentral. Lineage: Bacteria; Pseudomonadati; Verrucomicrobiota.